Molecule: small nuclear RNA, 24 nt
Filed under: Arabidopsis thaliana (thale cress)
Lineage: Eukaryota; Viridiplantae; Streptophyta; Magnoliopsida; Brassicales; Brassicaceae
Description: snRNA_18595
Source: RNAcentral
AGGGCGCUUAGGCUGGCUGAAAAC